CAGUCCAUACAAAGCAAACAAAAUCCAAAUAGGAAAGUUCCAGCAUUCUCCAGAAAUCUACACGAACUGCUGCUCCUGCUGCUUACCAGCGCUGAGCUGAUAUUCUUCCUUUCUAAAACCCCAUGUAAAUGAAAUUCUUUGAAUAUGUUCUUUUCUCAAGAAAUCAAAAAGAUCGCGAUUCUUCAAUGGAUUACCAGAUUUGAGGUUUGUUACCACUUACCUAUCAACCUUGGUAAUUAUUUCAUUUUACCUUCAAGUUCUUUAAUUUACUAACUCCUUUAACCAUCAAAUCACUGCGGUUGUUUCUGCUGUGGAGUGUAAUUUCGAUACCCAGAUGAAAUAGAAAAGUAAAGAAAUGGUAGGUGUACUUUUAUGAAAUGGGAAAGUAAACAAAUGGUACGCUGUGAGAAGCUUCAUCUCCUGUUGAUGAACAUAUUCACUGUGAGCUUAUCCAGACUUAAUGUGAGAAAUUAUUUACGGAGAUAGCUAUUAUGUUCCAAUGAGAUUUAACAUGUAUUCACUUGGCGUGUAGAUGGAGGAGUGAAGAGCUGAUUUUUCAAGACCGGGUUACUGUGAACGGGUCUGUUUGCAAGACUCCACAGACUAAAGUUGAUCCAACUAGGGAUGUAAUUUAUGUCAACGGAAAUCGUCUUCGUAAGAAACUGCCUUCGAAGGUCUAUCUUGCACUAAACAAGCCUAAAGGGUACAUAUGCUCAUCAGGGGAGAAAGAAAGAUAAAAGACAUCCUGGAGAACCAAAACCUCAGCUCUUUAUAGUCGGUAGACUUGAUGUUGCCACAACUGGAGCUUCAUCAUAUGCCCUUGGUGCUUCUUCAGUUGUGUCUAAGGGGUAGUAAAAUAUCGGAUUGGGAAUGUAGGGUAGUUUGGUGUAUUAACGUUCUCGCCAUGCACAUGAACGACUGUCAUUUUCUGAUGCUACGCAUUUUGGCUGGUGUUGGUAAAUAAUUUCAACAGAGAAUCACUUGAAGAUAAAGAAAAUUUGUGAGGCAGUAGAAGAUGGACGCCGAGGAAAGAUAACUAAGGUUUUCAGUUGAUCCUUUCACUUGUAUGAAGUCUGAGCAUUUUCGUACAUAGAUUUAGCAAAUUAGCUCAUGAAAAUAUAAUAACCUGUCUAACUCCUUCAGAUGUGAAUGAAAUGGUCUUCGCAUGCAUUCAGGACAUUUACAUGAUCACUCGACCUUGAUCAAAGUAGAUUUUGGGUGAAUUAUGACACAUUCCAUUUACUGAUUUAACCUGUUCAAAUUAGUCCAACCUGCUUAUGUGACACCCUUUACGAUUUAACUUGAGGCAGGACUUUUGAUUUGAUUUUGUAGGGGUUAGUGAGUGACUUCAAAAUUCCCAAAGGUGAGGACCCAAGUUUAGAGAAAUAUCAAUUCCAGUGGCUCUAUACAAACGGGUUACUUGGAGUCAUUUUUUCCUUUGGCCUUCUCUACACAUCAUUGAAAAGCAGAACAGCAAGGUCAUGGUGGUAUGGAACUGGGUGGUUCAUAAGCUUUGUUGCGGAUUAUGGAGUUCCUUUAAUGGUUCUUGUGUGGUCGGCACUCUCAUAUGAAGUGCCAAGCAAAGUUCCCUCUGGAGUUUCCAGAAGGCUCUUUAGUCCUCUUCCUUGGGAAUCUGCAUCUCUACAUCACUGGACUGUAAUCAAGGUGCUUUGAUUGUGAAUGGAUUGAUCGAUUAAUUUUCUGUUGGUUAUUGAAAAAUUUUGAAAUUCGUGAAAUCAGUCACUGAUGUUUAUGUCAGCAUACAAUACAUCUUGUUCGUUUGGGCCUUGCAUGAACGCAGGAUGCUUUGUGCAGCGACCUGCACUUUUGUACUGUAAAAUCUUGAAAUAAAUACAUGAUAUAUCAAUUGCAAGAUAUGGGAAAGGUUCCUCCAUA
RNA transcript from Capsicum annuum, 1896 nucleotides. It is a transcript of the gene named putative ribosomal large subunit pseudouridine synthase SVR1, chloroplastic, with no coding region annotated. The record is from RefSeq and is a predicted model, not a curated record. NCBI's taxonomy places the organism in Eukaryota, Viridiplantae, Streptophyta, Magnoliopsida, Solanales, Solanaceae. The transcript is spliced from 7 exons.